RNAcentral lists this ribosomal RNA (433 nucleotides) under uncultured bacterium. RNAcentral describes it as "partial 16S ribosomal RNA". It matches the Rfam family "Bacterial small subunit ribosomal RNA", at positions 29 to 507 of the family's 1533-position model. The record is from RNAcentral.
AACGAACGCUGGCGGCAGGCCUAACACAUGCAAGUCGAGCGGACCCUUCGGGGUUAGCGGCGGACGGGUGAGUAACGCGUGGGAAUAUGCCCUUCUCUACGGAAUAGUCCUGGGAAACUGGGGGUAAUACCGUAUACGCCCUUUGGGGGAAAGAUAUAUCGGGGAAGGAUUAGCCCGCGUUGGAUUAGGUAGUUGGUGGGGUAAUGGCCUACCAAGCCGACGAUCCAUAGCUGGUUUGAGAGGAUGAUCAGCCACACUGGGACUGAGACACGGCCCAGACUCCUACGGGAGGCAGCAGUGGGGAAUCUUAGACAAUGGGGGCAACCCUGAUCUAGCCAUGCCGCGUGAGUGAUGAAGGCCUUAGGGUUGUAAAGCUCUUUCAGCUGGGAAGAUAAUGACGGUACCAGCAGAAGAAGCCCCGGCUAACUCCGUG